CCCUUAGAUGUUCUGGGCCGCACGCGCGCUACACUGAUGAAUGCAACGAGCUCUACCCCUGACCGAAAGGCCCGGGUAAACUUGUGAAACUUCAUCGUGAUGGGGAUAGAUUAUUGCAAUUAUUAAUCUUCAACGAGGAAUUCCUAGUAAGCGCGAGUCAUCAGCUCGCGUUGAUUACGUCCCUGCCCUUUGUACACACCGCCCGUCGCUCCUACCGAUUGAAUGGUCCGGUGAAAUCUUCGGAUUGCUGACCAAGAUCCAGCAAUGGAGCUUGGUUGCGAGAAGUUGAUUAAACCUUAUUAUUUAGAGGAAGGAGAAGUCGUAACA
This 327-nucleotide ribosomal RNA is filed under the name uncultured eukaryote. RNAcentral's name for it is "partial 18S ribosomal RNA". It matches the Rfam family "Eukaryotic small subunit ribosomal RNA", at positions 1470 to 1796 of the family's 1831-position model. The record is from RNAcentral.